AGAUUUUAAGUUAAUAAAACUAUAUACCUUCAAAGUAUAAAAUAAUACCAAAAUUAAAUCUU
This 62-nucleotide transfer RNA is filed under the name Ixodes ovatus. Its description in RNAcentral is "tRNA-Trp". Lineage: Eukaryota; Metazoa; Arthropoda; Arachnida; Ixodida; Ixodidae. The record is from RNAcentral.